This 496-nucleotide ribosomal RNA is filed under the name uncultured bacterium. RNAcentral's name for it is "partial 16S ribosomal RNA". It matches the Rfam family "Bacterial small subunit ribosomal RNA", at positions 28 to 506 of the family's 1533-position model. The record is from RNAcentral.
GAUGAACGCUGGCGGCGUGCCUAAUACAUGCAAGUCGAGCGAACGGACGAGAAGCUUGCUUCCCUGAUGUUAGCGGCGGACGGGUGAGUAACACGUGGAUAACCUACCUAUAAGACUGGGAUAACUUCGGGAAACCGGAGCUAAUACCGGAUAAUAUUUUGAACCGCAUGGUUCAAGAGUGAAAGACGGUCUUGCUGUCACUUAUAGAUGGAUCCGCGCUGCAUUAGCUAGUUGGUAAGGUAACGGCUUACCAAGGCAACGAUGCAUAGCCGACCUGAGAGGGUGAUCGGCCACACUGGAACUGAGACACGGUCCAGACUCCUACGGGAGGCAGCAGUAGGGAAUCUUCCGCAAUGGGCGAAAGCCUGACGGAGCAACGCCGCGUGAGUGAUGAAGGUCUUCGGAUCGUAAAACUCUGUUAUUAGGGAAGAACAUAUGUGUAAGUAACUGUGCACAUCUUGACGGUACCUAAUCAGAAAGCCACGGCUAACUACGU